This is an RNA transcript of Formica exsecta, 3308 nucleotides long. It is a transcript of the gene named cytosolic endo-beta-N-acetylglucosaminidase, with no coding region annotated. The transcript has 9 exons. The record is from RefSeq and is a predicted model, not a curated record. NCBI's taxonomy places the organism in Eukaryota, Metazoa, Arthropoda, Insecta, Hymenoptera, Formicidae.
AUAAAUUUUACUGCAUAUAUAAUAUUAUAAUAAUACGAAGUAUACAUUUAACAUUUAUAUAUAUCUUAUAUUUAUUAGACCAUAACACACACAAUAAUAACAAAAAUAUACAUUUAUAAAAGUUCCAAAAGAUAAACAUUCUGGGCAUGUAAGAUAAGUCAUGUAUGUACGUGUACGUAUAUAUGAGUCUGUGACGUCGGUUAAGAGGUUCACGAAUUUUUUGCAGUUUGCACAAUAUAUAUACCUAUUACAUAUUGUAAAUAUUGUUCGGACACGGUUAAAAGUUUGUGUCAAUAAGAAAACCCUUUGCUUUGCAAAUAUAGUUUGCUUUUAUAAAAGUUUGUCAAAAUAUGAUAACUUAUAUCAACUAAAGAGUUUAAUAAAUUUCCGUUUCGCUCUUUAUCAUUCAUCGUAUAUACAUGAUAACUGUCGGCAGAUAAUGGUAUCAAAAGAGUAGGUAAUUGUCACUUAAUUUCACCACAAUGAAUAACAUCACUAUCAAAAUCAGGAAUUAUUUUUGCUUGAAUGAAUUAUCAUGCCUUCCGGUGAUAUCUACGCAGGAAAGAUUAUUGCAGCAAUAUACUACUACGAAACUUGCAACAAUGGAAUGCAAUAAUAGUAUAUUAGGAAUCACAGAGAUGGCAAGCAGCGUCGAAGUAAGAGAAUUACUGCCUUUUAAAACCUUGACAGAAUUAAACAAUGCCUUGGACAAUGGAUUAACAGAGUUACCAAUAACAUGUAUCGCAGAGUCUGUUGAUUAUGUAUAUCGAGGUUCAGAAAUCAGUGCGCAAAAAAUUUUACUGGAAAAAGUGGACAGGGAUGAACAGCCUAGAACGCUUGUCUGCCACGACAUGAAAGGUGGUUACUUGGAAGACAGAUUCUUAUCCGGCUCUACCUCUCAUGAUUCUUAUAUAUUUUACCAUUGGAGUGUUGUCGAUAUAUUUGUUUAUUUUAGCCAUCACUUCGUAACUGUCCCACCCUGUGGAUGGAUCAAUGCAGCGCACCACCAUGGUGUAAAAGUAUUGGGUACUGUAAUUACAGAAGGAAAUAAUGAUACUUGGAAUACGAUUCUCAUAUCACAGGAAGAUGUAAAAAAAUUUGCAGACGCUUUAGUAUUGGUUGCAAAGUGUUACCAAUUUGAAGGCUGGCUUUUGAACAUUGAAAAUAAAAUUAAACAGGAAGAUAUUGAUAAUUUAAUUUAUUUCGUUAAAUAUUUAACAGAAAAUAUUCACAAGGAAAUUGAAAAUUCAGAGAUUAUCUGGUAUGAUAGUGUCACCAAUAAGGGGGAGUUGAAUUGGCAGAAUGAACUGAAUGACAAUAAUAAAGAUUUUUUCUCACAUUGCGACGGUAUAUUUUUAAAUUAUAAUUGGACGGAAUCACGACUUAGCAAAAGUCGUAUAUUCGCAAAGGAAUUAGGUCGCGAUAUUAAGGAUAUUUAUGUAGGAUUGGAUGUUUGGGGGAGAGGAUGUCCAGGUGGAGGCGGAUUUAAUUCGGCAUAUGCGUUAGAUUUAAUACGGAAACAUGGUCUUUCGGUAGCUAUUUUUGCACCUGGUUGGACACAUGAAUACUUUGGUCCAAGUACUUUCCAAAUUCUAGAGGAUUUAUUUUGGGCUCAACUAUUUCCAUAUCUAUAUGUACAUGUACCUAUUUAUGAAGAUGAAACAUUUAAAACUUCCUUUUGUCGUGGUGCCGGUAUCUGCUAUUAUUAUAAUGGCGAGGAGCAUUUCGAACUGUACAAGAUAAACGGCGAAAGCGCGCAUGGAAAAAAAGCAUUUUAUAAUUUGCGGAUGCAGCAACCGCAACUGUCAGUUGCCGCGCCGAAUUCACAAUUUACUCGAUCUACACAAAGAACUCUUCUCGAAGAUGGUGAAAAUAACGAUGAAGUUAAUAAUGGCCAAGGUGAUAAAGAUAAUAAUACUAAUAAGACACACACACGUAUAGAACGUAUAUAUGAAAAUAGAAAGAAUAUUAUACGAGUCUGCGACAAUGUCGUCAAUAUUGAAGAAAAAUUAUCUGCCCCUGACUUCAAUACUUUCGAGUUCUGCGAUCGAUUUUCCUACAAUGGCGGCGGAUGCUUGAAAUUAAUUACUACAAAUGAUAGAUUAUAUCAUAGGUUGUUCUUGAUUCACAUUGAUUUGAAACAUAACAUCCAGGCAACCAUCGUUUACACAGAACUUGGAACUUUAACGAAUGAGUCUCACAAGGAUCCUGUCUUGAUCUUGGGUAACGAUGGUGAUCUAAAAUCGAUUUUACCUUACAAUUCCGUCAGAGUGAAUGCCAAAUGGAGGAAAUGCGUCUACUUGACAAACUUGAGGACCGUGGACGAGAUUGGUGUAUCCUUGAAACAACGCGAUUACUACUUGGGUGAAAUUGUUUUGGAAAAGAGGGAUCAUCGUUUUGAAAGCAGCGUACGAAAAUGCCAUUAAUUCCUAUGCACGGGAGCCUCAUAUAUACAAAUACAUUACGCGAUCGCCUUUGUACCAAUGUACACCUUGUACAUUUUCUACUAACGAAGGCAUGCAAGGUGACUGAUCUCUCGCGUCAAUUUCGCAAAUUUCCGAUGCAAUGCGGCGCAGAGAGGGAGAGGCGAAGAAGGAAAAGCGGGUGAACGAGAGCGAGAGAAAGAAACAAUGUGCGAAUGAUGAGAAAAGUAGAAAGAGACGUAGGAGCAGCAGAUAAUUGCGAUUCUGCGUACGUUGCCAGUCGGAUCAGCGAUUACCAUGUUGUACAAUCUGCUUUGGAUUCAACGUAGCAUUCUAUCGCCACAAUAUUAAUUCGCAACUAUUAUAAGAAAUAUAUAUGGUGGAAUAAUAUAAAAAUAUUUUACUGUAAUCUUACAUGUCAAUUUUUAAGAAACGGUUCGAGAAACAGACAAAUCUGUAUCAAACACAAUACAUAUAAUUGUGUGUGUGUGUGUGUCUGUGUGUGUCUGUGAGAGAGAGAGAAUCUUUGUUAUUUGUAUAAUAUAAAUAAAAUUAUCAUUUGAACGAAAAAAAACGCACAAGUUGGUGAGAUUCUAUAAAAUUGCAAUUCACACAGCAUAAAAAUGCAUUAGCGCAAGACUACGUUCGAUAUAUAAUAGCAAGCGAGAAAUCAUGCAAGUUUUGUAAAUCGGCUAGAAAAUGCGAUUAAGACAUUACCGUUAUCUUCUACUUUGAGUCGCGAAUACGAUUCCACAAAAGGACCAAGGAGAGAUUAUCGGCGAAAAAUUAUCUCGGACAAGUAAAGACGGCGUAAUAAUUAUUACGGCGGAACGUAAUAUUAUUAUCGUGAAAGUCAACAAUGUACAAUUGACUCGGAGAAGAAUC